Lotus japonicus is the source of this 1840-nucleotide long non-coding RNA. RefSeq lists it as uncharacterized. The transcript has 10 exons. The record is from RefSeq and is a predicted model, not a curated record. NCBI's taxonomy places the organism in Eukaryota, Viridiplantae, Streptophyta, Magnoliopsida, Fabales, Fabaceae.
CAAUCUUCUUUUCUUUUCUUUCGUCUUUCUGGGAUUUCAAUCGCGUCGCACGUUCUCACUUUCUGAUUGUUGCUUUUUUUUAGGGGGUUCUUUGCUUCCUGCAUAAAUUGGUGGAACGAUAUGGGGUUUAGGGUUUAUGCCGCUCUUUCGAUCAUCAGGAUUUGGUCUGGACAACCUUCCUUCCAAGAUUAAUCUGAACCAGAGCAUGUCAUUUCCAUCAUCAUCGUCCAGGUUUUGCGAAUACUAGGAGACGACAACGUGCGGCCACAAAAGGGCUCCCAUGAAGUCCUCAGCAGGGGCCGACGAUUUCCGGAAUUUUCGUCAAAUUUCGGGAGAGUUGCCCGUGAAAUCGCCGUUGGGGGGUUCUUUAAGGACUAAGUUGUUCGUGAAGCACUAGAGCCAUUGGAUGAAUUGAAGCAAGGGUGACUGGGGAAGUGGUGAGUGAUGCUGAAAAGAAUUUGGGUGAUGGGAAGCCUGCACGUGAGGAAAAAGAGGCAGCAGAUGGAAACAAGGAAAGCCCUGUUUAUGAAAGUGAAGAAAAGGAGCCUGAGGAUAAGGAGAUGACACUGGAAGAAUAUGAGAAGGUGUUGGAAGAGAAAAGAAAAGCCCUGCAAGCACUCAAGACUGAAGUGAGAAAGGUGGAUGCAAAGGAGUUUGAAUCCAUGCAGCCACUUUCCCACAAGAAAGACAAUGAUGAGAUCUUUGCUAAAUUGGGAUCUGACAAGGAUAAGCGCAGAGAUGCUAUUGAGAAGGAGAAAUCCAAGAAGAAGAGGGGAAGGUAAGCAACACAACAAUGAAAAUGACGCCCUUGCCGAGAAUCGCGACAGGAUCAAUGAGCAAGCUGAUUCUCCACCUCUGGUGGCUUCUCUGUCUUCGAUACCAGCAUGGAUUCAGGGUGAAGAGGAGCACAGCGGUGAGGGCGAGUGAAGCAGCAAGCGCCAUUGAACGCCGAGUGGUGAACCCUUUGAAUGAGUGUCAUAGUUUUGAUGCUGCUCCAUUUUCCAUGUGUCGCGUUCCUAACCUCGAUUAUGUGGUGUUUUUUUGGUGUUCAACACCGCAGCAUAUUGAUUAUGGCGGUGAAUCACCCCCCAUGAGGUCAAUGUUAAUAGGUUUUGGCUGCUCAAAAGUUCCUUCUUUAUGAGAGUGCUUUUUUCUCUGCAAUUUUAGGAUCUGUGGGUGGAAGAAAGGUUUAUGGAAGAAUUGGAAUCCAUGAUUAAAGGGAAGGUUUUAGAUUUCUGUUGCCGGUGUUUGGCGUCAGAAGUCAGAACCCCUUCAAUUUGAAGGUCUGUGACAGAGCAGAGUAAAAUUUGAAACUAAAAUUCAAAUGCAGCUGGGGUACUGAAGAGGAAAAUCACACAAGGAAGGUGGUAGUUGAAGGCCUAUAAGCUUCUGAUAUUAAAAGCUUUGAGAGUGAAUUUGGACCUUGGCCGCUGUGAUGGUACCUGAGCUGGGCAAUGGCACUUGAAUGUGUUGCAAGUCUAUUAUUGAGCAGAAGGGUGUGUCCAAAUGCAGCUUGUGGCACUUUGAAGUUGAAAAUCACACAAAGAAGGUGGCAGUGGUUAGCAAAGUGUAUGGUAGUGUUAGAAACCUCUUUAAGUGUGCGGCUGCAAUUAUCACAAUUAUGGACCUCUUCCUAUUUUUUGCUGGUUUAAUUGGCUGUAGUUUUUUUCAUUGGCCGUAGAUUUUUUUCUCUUUUUAUUAGUUAGAAUGAACUAUGGUAGUGUAUGUUCUAUGUAAUGUAGGCUCUUUUGUACCAAAUGGCAAGUGAUAUGGCUAUAUCAUUAGCAUGUAAUGAAAUGAUUUUUAUUUUCUAUGAUGAAUGAGAAUGGAAAUUGAUUUA